GUUGUGUGUCUGUACAGUGUUAAUAAAGUUGUGUUUGUACAGUGUUAAUAAAGUUUUGUGUUUGUACAGUGUUAAUAAAGUUGUGUGUUUGUACAGUGAUAAUAAAGUUGUGUGUCUGUA
This is a long non-coding RNA of Dicentrarchus labrax (European seabass), 120 nucleotides long. RefSeq lists it as uncharacterized. NCBI's taxonomy places the organism in Eukaryota, Metazoa, Chordata, Actinopteri, Moronidae. The transcript has 2 exons. The record is from RefSeq and is a predicted model, not a curated record.